UAGGGAAUAUUGCUUAAUGAGCGAAAGCCUGAAGCAGCAACGCCGCGUGCACGAUGAAGGUCUUCGGAUCGUAAAGUGCUUUUUUAGAGGAUGAGGAAGGACAGUACUCUAAAAAUAAGCCUCGGCUAACUACGUGCCAGCAGCCGCGGUAAAACGUAGGAGGCGAGCGUUAUCCGGAUUUACUGGGCGUAAAGCGUGUGCAGGUGGUUUGGUAAGUUGGAUGUGAAAGCUCCUGGCUUAACUGGGAGAGGUCGUUCAAUACUGUCAGACUUGAGAGUGAGAGAGGGAGGUGGAAUUCCGGGUGUAGUGGUGAAAUGCGUAGAUAUCCGGAGGAACACCAGUGGCGAAAGCGGCCUCCUGGCUCAUUUCUGACACUCAUACACGAAAGCUAGGGUAGCAAACGG
This 404-nucleotide ribosomal RNA is filed under the name uncultured bacterium. Its description in RNAcentral is "bacterial SSU rRNA". It matches the Rfam family "Bacterial small subunit ribosomal RNA", at positions 355 to 775 of the family's 1533-position model. The record is from RNAcentral.